Molecule: microRNA precursor, 88 nt
Filed under: Nasonia giraulti
Lineage: Eukaryota; Metazoa; Arthropoda; Insecta; Hymenoptera; Pteromalidae
Also listed under: 1 other name
Description: microRNA ngi-mir-305 precursor
Gene: ngi-mir-305
Rfam family: mir-305 microRNA precursor family (bases 9-80)
Source: miRBase by way of RNAcentral
GGAGGCUGCAUGUUAAUUGUACUUCAUCAGGUGCUCUGGUGAUUUUGAUACCCGGUGCCUGUUGGAGCGCAAUUCAUAUGAUUGUGCC